GCCGGGAUAGCUCAGUUGGUAGAGCAGGGGACUGAAAAUCCUCGUGUCACCAUYCMAAAUA
This 61-nucleotide transfer RNA is filed under the name Frullania chevalieri. Its description in RNAcentral is "partial tRNA-Phe". It matches the Rfam family "tRNA", at positions 1 to 59 of the family's 71-position model. Rfam says of the family: Transfer RNA (tRNA) molecules are approximately 80 nucleotides in length. Their secondary structure includes four short double-helical elements and three loops (D, anti-codon, and T loops). Lineage: Eukaryota; Viridiplantae; Streptophyta; Jungermanniopsida; Porellales; Frullaniaceae. The record is from RNAcentral.